GACAGCAGCAGCCGCGGGAAUACGUAGGAUGCAAGCGUUAAUCGGAAUUACUGGGCGUAAAGCGUGCGCAGGCGGUUAUAUAAGUCAGAUGUGAAAUCCCCGGGCUCAACCUGGGAACUGCAUUUGAGACUGUAUGGCUAGAGUGUGUCAGAGGGGGGUAGGAGUCCACGUGUAGCAGUGAAAUGCGUAGAUAUGUGGAGGAAUACCGAUGGCGAAGGCAGCCCCCUGGGAUAACACUGACGCUCAUGCACGAAAGCGUGGGGAGCAAACAGGAUUAGAUACCCGAGUAGUCCCUGUCUCUUAUAC
RNAcentral lists this ribosomal RNA (306 nucleotides) under uncultured bacterium. Its description in RNAcentral is "partial 16S ribosomal RNA". It matches the Rfam family "Bacterial small subunit ribosomal RNA", at positions 507 to 807 of the family's 1533-position model. The record is from RNAcentral.